AUAAAAGCAAAGAUAUAGGAUAUGUUCAUCUUCUGAUGCGUUUAGAGAGGAAAUGGCUGGUGAAAAUUUCCCGCAAGGAUGAUGGGUACUCCCUAUGAGCUGCGCUCGAAAGAGACCGCCGUUUUCCGCGUUAAGGACUAGAGGCAAUCGUCAACGAUUGUGAAUAAAGGUGGUACCACGAGACUUCGUCCUUUGA
RNAcentral lists this non-coding RNA (196 nucleotides) under Clostridiales bacterium. RNAcentral describes it as "T-box sequence". It matches the Rfam family "T-box leader". Rfam says of the family: Uncharged tRNA acts as the effector for transcription antitermination of genes in the T-box leader family. T-boxes are found upstream of many aminoacyl-tRNA synthetase genes and some amino acid biosynthetic genes usually in Gram-positive bacteria. Lineage: Bacteria; Bacillati; Bacillota; Clostridia; Eubacteriales. The record is from RNAcentral.